Molecule: transfer RNA, 72 nt
Filed under: Anaerolineales bacterium
Lineage: Bacteria; Bacillati; Chloroflexota; Anaerolineae; Anaerolineales
Description: tRNA-Gly
Rfam family: tRNA
About the family: Transfer RNA (tRNA) molecules are approximately 80 nucleotides in length.
Source: RNAcentral
GCGGGUGUCGCCAAGUGGUAAGGCACUUGCUUCCCAAGCAAGCAUUCGUGGGUUCGAAUCCCAUCACCCGCU